AGGCAGCCAACCACGGUAGGUUCAGUGACUGGGGUGAAGUCGUAACAAGGUAGCCGUAGGGGAACCUGCGGCUGGAUCACCUCCUUUCUAAGGAUGAUCUUAGCUGAAAGUUUACUUUCACGUAGAUCACUUUUUAGCAGCUCUUAAAUGAGCUUUAGUAGUCUUCGGACUACAUUAUAGACCGAACCGUCCUCAUAUCUCUUCAGUAAUAAUAAUUUUGCAGGUCAUCGAUCUGUUAAGGGUCGGUAGCUCAGGUGGUUAGAGCGCACGCCUGAUAAGCGUGAGGUCGGAGGUUCAAGUCCUCCUCGACCCACCAUAAAAUGGGGCGUUAGCUCAGCUGGGAGAGCACCUGCUUUGCAAGCAGGGGGUCAUCGGUUCGAUCCCGAUACGCUCCACCAUUUCCUUCAGAUUAUUAUAUCAAUUCCGAUUAGAUCAUUAAGGACUGUAAGCAGUUUUUAAUCAUCCAAUCGGAUGGCGAACCUUCGGGUUCACUUUUACAUCGUUUAGAGAGCAUAUAAAACACGAGACGUAAGUUUCUUGUUUGGACCACUUCUUCGGAAAAGGUUAGGAAUUGAAUAUUUUGAGGCUGAAGAGCUUUGAGAGACUAGAUUGUUAGCUGGUUCGCAGUAUCAUAGGUAACUAUGAAGCAUAAUCAGACUAGGGUGACCAACCCACUGUGCGUGUGCUGUUGGUGAGCGUUCCAGUGCGGUUCGCAAGCUUAUUCAAAGAUAAUUUACAGUCUUUCCAAGUCAAAUACACUAACCAAAGUCACAGUGAAUUAGAUCUACUGUGACAUGAAGGGAUGCUCGAAAGAGCAUUCAUUCGCUGGAAUGUGCGUGACCUUCCUGCCAAGGGAGGGUUACAUUUGAGUUCAAAAUAAAAUGUUGUUUUUGCAAUUGCAAAACAAUGACGUGCCUAUCGCAAGAUAGGUGCUGAUGAACAAUUUUCUCAAAAAAAAUGACGACUUCUGUUCUAGAAAUAGUCUGACUAUUUCUGGAUCAGAUCAAGCGCGAGAAGGGCGUUUGGUGGAUGCCUUGGCAGUAAGAGGCGAUGAAGGACGUGAUACUCUGCGAUAAGCUUUGGGAAGUCGAGAAUAGACGCUAUACCCAAAGAUCU
RNAcentral lists this unclassified non-coding RNA (1116 nucleotides) under uncultured marine bacterium. RNAcentral's name for it is "partial contains 16S ribosomal RNA, 16S-23S ribosomal RNA intergenic spacer, and 23S ribosomal RNA". The stretch from base 1 to 87 matches the Rfam family "Bacterial small subunit ribosomal RNA", at positions 1447 to 1533 of the family's 1533-position model. The record is from RNAcentral.